UUUUUUCAAAAAAUAAGGUAAAAAAAUGCUAAAAUAAGGAAAAUUGAAAAAAUUGAGAAAUGCCAGUUGCUAACCGUUUUCAAUGAACCAUCAUUGGAGAAAAACAGCCCUUAUGACUAAACUACCUAUAUGGAAGUUUAGAACUAUGUUGGUGUAAAAAAUAAUGGAAAUAAAAUUUUUGGUAUCUUUUUGAUUUUUUUCAAAAAAUAAGGUAAACAAAUGCUAAAAUAAGGAAAAUUGAGAAAUGCCAGUUUCUAACCAUUUUCAAUGAUCAAUCAUUGGAGAAAAACAACCUAAAUGACUUAACUACCUGUAUGGAAGUCUUGUACUAUUUUGGUGUAAAAAAUAAUAAGAAUAAAAUUUUUGGUAUCUUUUUGAUUUUUUUCAAGAAAUAAGGUAAAAAAAAUGCUAAAAUAGGGAAAAUUGAGAAAGUUUGAGAAAAGCCGUUUUUUUACCAUUUUCAUUUAUCCAUCACCAGAGGAAAACAACACUAAUGAAUAAACUAUCAUAUGCAAGUCUAGUACUAUUUUGGUGUGAAAAAUGAUGAAAAUGAAAUUUUUGGUAUCUUUUUGAUUUAAAAAAAAAAAAAUAAGGUAAAAAAAUGCUAAAAUAAGAAAAAUUGAGAAAAUUUAAGAAAAGCCAGUUUCUAACCGUUUUCAAUUAUCCAUCACCAGAGGAAAACAACAUUUAUGACUUACUACUGAUAUGGAAGUCUAGUACUAUGUUGGUUUAAAACAAGAAUGUGUCCACAGUACACGGAUGCCCCACUCGCACUAUCAUU
Molecule: long non-coding RNA, 781 nt
Filed under: Mytilus galloprovincialis (Mediterranean mussel)
Lineage: Eukaryota; Metazoa; Mollusca; Bivalvia; Mytilida; Mytilidae
Source: RNAcentral